UGGUGGAGUGAUUUGUCUGCUUAAUUGCGAUAACGAACGAGACCUUAACCUGCUAAAUAGCCAGGCUAGCUUUGGCUGGUCGCCGGCUUCUUAGAGGGACUGUCAGCGUCUAGCUGACGGAAGUUUGAGGCAAUAACA
RNAcentral lists this ribosomal RNA (138 nucleotides) under uncultured eukaryote. RNAcentral describes it as "partial 18S ribosomal RNA". It matches the Rfam family "Eukaryotic small subunit ribosomal RNA", at positions 1299 to 1458 of the family's 1831-position model. The record is from RNAcentral.